Long non-coding RNA from Herpailurus yagouaroundi (jaguarundi), 7307 nucleotides. RefSeq lists it as uncharacterized. The record is from RefSeq and is a predicted model, not a curated record. The transcript has 2 exons. Lineage: Eukaryota; Metazoa; Chordata; Mammalia; Carnivora; Felidae.
UCCCUCUCUCUCUCUCUCCCUCUCUUUCUCUCUCAAAAUAAAUUUUAAAAUAAAUAAACUUAAAAAAAUAAUUUCUGCAGAAAAUGAAUAAGGAAGGUAAUCAAUAUUGUUCAUAAAGCUACAGAAAUUGAGGCAUUGAGAUAUUGGCAUGGGGACAAAGUGAGCAAUGUAACAGAGGGCCCAUGAACAGACCCACCUAUAUGCUAUCUUUGAUAUGUUACAAAGGGGCCCACUGGGGAGAGGUGCAACUCAAUAAAUGAGUCUAAGACAGUUGAGGACUAUGAUGUAAAAACACCGAAUCAGAUACCCACCUUAAGCCAUUUACAGAAAUAACUUCAAAGUAGAUUAAAGCCAACACGAGAAACAAAACAUUAAAAAAUUUAGGAAAAUGUAUAAGAAGCUAUCUGUAUGACCUCUGGGUGGGGAAGCAGUUCUCAAAAUAAGAUACAAAGAACAGCCACGCAGAAACGAAAAAAAAUCAAUAUAGCAAACAACAUUAAAGUUUAGAACUUCCAUGUGAUGAAAUACAACUUAAGCGCAAGCCAUAGCUGGCAGAAAUUUCCGUGCAUACAAAUGACAAAAAAUGGCAGACAGAAUAUGUUUUCAAAGUCCUACCAAUCCACUGGAGAAGGACGAAAUGAGAGGAAACUGUGCAAACGAAGCAGGAAGCUUCCUCGAUGGCCAAUAAACAGAAGAAUAGAAUAAAACCUCCCGAAUCAUGCUAGAAAUGUAAUUAAAAGAAGGUGGUAGCAUGUCAUACCAAUCAGACUGACAGCAGUGAAAAAGUCUGGCAAUACCAGCUGUCAUCACGUACUGGUCAGGAAAGCUAUGGAGGUAGAAAAUGGUACGAUCACUUGGGAAGGCAUUUUGGCCGCUCUUGUAACGUUGAAAAUGGACACUCCAUAUAGCCCAGUUAGCAAAGUUGCAGAGGAUAUGUAGUACACUGCCAGUUUGUAUAAAGUAUUAAAACUAAAAUAAAUCACAUCUAUGUAAUGUCUGGAUACAUACACAGCAGUGAAAUAGCACACAGAACUGAUGGACACUAAAUUCAGGUUGUUUAUUCCUGGGCAGAUGGGAGGGAGAUCAUGGGAAGAUAAGGGUUGCCAACUUUAUCUGUGCUUCUGUUUUCCAUGAAAAAAGAAAUAAGGUAUGAAGCAAAUAUUGAACAAUGUUAAGGUUGGAUAGAGUCAGUUCAGUGGGUGUUCAUUAGAUUAUUAUCCUUUCCCGUAUGCUCAUAAGAUUUCAUAAUUCAAUAAAAAAGUUUAAUGGGAAGUAAGGAAGUAGAGACAGUAGGCAAAAGAAAGCUCAUUAGAGCAGUUUUGUCCCGAAGAAGAACAAAGAAACUGGUAACAGCUGGAGGGACAUGAGCACACAGGGCUAUUUUUAAAAGUGGGUCAUUUCAAGCAUAUUUAUACAUUGACUGAAAUACCUUCAUGGACAAAGAAAUUGAUGGUGUACUAGGGAAAGAAGGUGAUUGUAGGAACAAAGGCCUCGGAAAGAUAAGAGGCAGUAGAAUUUGUGUUUGGAGAGAAUAGGGGUUGUCUCAGCAUUGUCCUGGGAGAGAGGACCACAUAGAGAUGGAAGUUUUGUUCGUGCAGAGGAAGGCCUGUCCCUCUAAGAACUUUUGUUUUCCGAAUGAUGUAUAAGGUCAGAUUCACAUGAGGAGUAGGGAGAGGGCGUCAGCGUUGAGAAGAGAAGCGAAGGGAAGCUAUGAAGCCAACGUCUUGGAAAUCGAGAAAACAAACUUAUUGGAAUCUCCAUGCUACACUGAAUGACCAGCUGAGUCCUGUGGUCAUCAUGCUCAAAUGAGCUCCAUCCACAUGCUGGGAUUUUCUCCAGCAAAGUUCAGCAGCUCAGGCGCUGGUGCAGAGAAGGCCAAAGAUUGGGUCGCACCAGGAGAUGGUUUCCCCAGGCAACGGAAAAAGAGAGAAGCAGGAAGGCUGAGGAUGUUCACAAAGAGGUGACUUUAAGGGUAGUCAUACAGUGUAAGCUAAGUAAAAGGACAUGGGGACAAAAAUAAAGAUGGUGUCAGUGGACUGGAGAAUAAGAUGAGAUCAAGGAAUCAUUGCACUGGGAGCCUGGAGAAGGAUCCCCAGAAGUUGUUAUGGGGGAGGGUAGGUUAAGGAGGUGCAGUGGUCCAAGAUUUGUCCAUGACAAUGGGACCAGAGCUGGAGAAGUUUAUGGUUGUUGCAGGUUAUUGUAGGAGGGCAGGUGGGUCAGGGAAGAAAGCCAGCCUCUUGGAUGUGUGAUGAAUAUAGAGAUCAAAGUCACUAAGAGGAAUCUUUAGUGAAUGAGGUAGAGUGACACAGGAAGUUCGGGAGACAACUGUGGGGAAAAAGGGGCACUGCUGUGUUCAUUUCACAGUUUGAAAAUGCGGUUCAGAGAGAACGUGUCUCUAGGAAGCAGCUUGCAAACUAAUAACCAGAGGAACCCAGAAGUGUCUGACUCCAAACUCCAUAUUCUCUUUCCUGUACCAAUCUCCUUGUGCAAGUUUCGACACAGUAAACUUGAAUAACUAUACAAUGGAAUUCGAUGUUAAUCUUCCAGUACCUUCUCUGGACAGAGCUGGUCAUCACGACCCUUAACUGAUGUGACUAAUCAGGAAUAUUUGGGGAGUUUUCUCACAUACACAAGCCCAGGCUGACCCUGCACCUAGUGAUCAGUCUCUAGGGGAUGUGUGCAAACCUAUGAUUUUGAAAAAGCUCCCGAGAUGAGUCUGAUACACAGGUACUUAACAAACAUUAACCUCAGGUUAUUGUCAGCACAAAAGCUCACCUGUCUUUAAAGCAGAAAUGUUCUGAUAUUCCUGAGAAAGAAAUGAUCCAAGAGAACAAAGACUUAAGGGCCCAGUUGUGUUUUUCUAUCCAUGUCUACGCUAUGGCUCUUGUUCCAAGUACUCUAUAUAGCAACUCAUUCCAUAUUAAGCUGUAUUGAGAGAUAUGUUUUCCUGUUCAGAAUCUUAUGUUUUCACAGAACAUUCUUAAUAUUUGCUUGUCUUGCUUAAAGAUUUGCUAAAAUACCAACUUUCACCAAUAGGUUUCUAUAAAAUGUUUUGCUUAUCUGUAAUAUCUUCUGUAAAAUGUUGCCAACUUUAUUACUCUAGAGAUGGCCAAUCUUAUGGGGAUCUCUCUUUUGUCUGUCUGUCGGUCUCUCCCUUUCUCUCACUCACACACACACACACACACACACACACACACACACACACACCUCUUCUCUUCUGCUAAGAUCAGAUUUUCCAGCUUUGUGCAUAAUCAAAGGGAUAGCAACUGGGAGAAAAUUUCCCACUGAGUAGCACCAAGAAAGACCAUUUUGACCACUGUUUACUUCCCUUCUAUCCUUUCUUCCACGAGCUCAACCAGCACAGACAUGAUUAUUUAAUUAUGCCAGUAUGAGAGCUACAAUAUUUAUUUCACCUUUCCCUGCCCCCAGGAGAUGAUGUCAUUCCAACUCGCCCCAGGAAAACAUGUCAGGAUCUUGGGCAGGUGAGGAAAUGGCGUGCGGUUUUACCUAGUUCCUAAAAAAUUGUGCCGCACCUUCCAACUUCCACCCAGUUCAAUCAUGGUACAUGGAGUAGGCUGGAUUGUCUUCUGUUUCAUUCCCUAGCUCCUUGUGCAGUGCACAGGACAUGAUUCAUCCAAAUGUGAUGACUGCAUCAGUGAAGUCACAGACAUCUGAGGCUCAGGCAGUCCUCAGUGAAGUGGACUCCCAACGUGCCAUUCACGUCCUGCUAGAAGGCGUAGGUGGGAUUCAGACAGCACUGCUGGGGGUAUUGGAGGCUGGAUCCUCACCACCUGCACUACUAGGCCAGGAAUUGCAAACUUUGCCUAUGAAGGCCAGUUCAUAGGUAACCAGAUCAAGGAGAGUCGGAUACAGAUCUGAUGGAGAGACUACAUGAAAUCCUGGAGUCAGAGUGAACGGGACUUGGGGGGUAAUUUCCUCUGCAAGAGGAUGACGCAUAUUUUGUGCAGAGGGGGGUAAAUGAAUAUAUGUGACCAAGAGAGUGCACUGAUAGCUGGUAUUUUUGUUGGCAGCUAUUGGCUCCUUUGUACUGUGGGAGUCCUCUGCCAGCUGCCUGUGUGAGCUGUAGGAUGUAGGCUACAUCUUCGCAGAAGCUUUAAGAGCCGUUGGAUGUCUGCCUCCCCUGCCUUGUUAUUUCCCUUUGGCCAUGACAAUGGCAUGUCCCAAGGGAGGCUACUCCUCCAGCUUUGGUCCUAGAAUGAAGAUACACGAAGCUGACCCAGCAAUGGCAUCGAACGUGAGCGAGAGAUAAACCAGAGAUUUGGGGGGCGUUUCCGCAACAAUCUAUAGUGAAAAUUGAUGGAUAGAUUCUGUAAUUAUCCAACUCUUUGCAUAGCUGAUUAUUCACAUAAGGAGAGAAGAGCCUGUGAAGCAUCAGGUCAAUACGGUCAAAGCUUUACAUCAAUUCAAGUUUUUAAAAAAUCUGAAAGAUGAAAGUUUGGCAGCAUGUAAACAAAACAUUUGGAUUACAGACUGAAAUUUGGGCUGAGUUGAUGAUGUUGUCUUGCCCCUCCUUAAGAUUGUUUGACUGUAAUCAUCAUGUUAGGAGAAUUCUUAAUGGUUUCGAAUUUAGGAGUAUGUGAGUAAUUAGAACUUGCUUUCACUCUGCCUAACUCUCAUGUAUGUUGCAUGUGAUUUUCUCAGAGAGUAAUCAACACUGACUUCUUCAAAGGUGAAGCAAACUUCAGAAGGGUUGUUAACUGAACAUCUGCACCCCGGGAGUGGGCUGUCCAACCAAACCCGAUUCAAAUGCUAUUUGAUUUCUUUCCUGUUUAGUACAAGGUAGUUUUAGAAAGGAAAGAUUGGUGUUCUUUUUUCUACUCCUCUUUUUUUCCCCAAAUAAAAGUAUGAAGACUUCAACAAGCUCCUCUUUUUUUUUUUUUUAAAUCAGCGUUAAAACUAACAUAUUCAAAGUCAUUUGUAUAAAUUGUGGGGAAGGUUGCUGACUCCGUGUGAUCAGUGGGCUCUGAACAGAAGUUUGAUAAAGGCUCUCAGUGCGCCUGUGACAGCAUCAAUAACCUUGGCCUUGGGGAAGGAAGGCUGGAUGAGGACGGAUUGGUGGUGGCUCCGGCCAGUCAGGCUCCCCCGCUGCCAGUCGCAGAGGCUGAUGUGUCUGCCCGCGGCAACACCGCCCCCGUGCAAUUAACAGACGCCACAAUGAGAACAACUGUUCCUCGCCUCAUUCAACACCAUCAUUCUGACCUUGCUGCUAACUCUUAAUCACUUCAGUAACGCCACAUGCUGCCGUCUGGACUUUUUUUGGAGACCUGCUGGAAUGACAACAUUUUCCAAAUAAUUAUUCAAGAUGUGAUAAAAUCCAUAGUUUCGUUUUGCAAGUUUCAACAUUUUUAAUUGCAGGUGUUUGAAAAGUCAACAUAUACGAACGGAGUCCUGAUAGUAAACAGGCAUGUUUGAAUCCCCUAAAGUCGAUAGGAAAAAUGUCAGCACACAGAUACCUUAUGGUCCCUUGAAUAUAGACAUUGUAUAUUCUCUUAAGUAUAAAACAGAAACCCACCAUGCAUUAAUUUACUGAAGUGGGUUUUGAUCUGUGUAUGUAUAUUACCAAUCUAUUUGUCUGUUUUAUUAGGGCAAUGCUAGCUGCUGUAACAAAGAAACCCAACAUUUUGGUCGUUUAAUAUGAUGGGAUUUCUUUCUUGUUCAUGUAAUAAUCUGAUGAAAAAUUCCUGGUCAGUAGGUAGUUUUUUUUCUAGCUUGUGAUUCAGAGACCUUAAUACUUUCCAUCUCGUGGGGCCACGAACCCUGGGAGCUCUGAUAGUUCAAAGUAUUGUUUCCAACCAGCAAAAGGGCAAGAAGACAGUUCAGAGGGCUCAUGUGCCUCUAAGUACCCAGCUAAGAAGUGACACACAUCACUUCCCUUCAUAUCUCAAUCGGGAGAACUGGUUCAUGGCCAGACCUGGGUAUGAAGUUGAUCUGGAAAACAUUCUAAGUUGGGCAACCACCUACAAAAAAAAUCUCCAAAUUAAAUUGUGGAAGAAGGAGCACCAUUUGGGGUUCAUAGCUAGUUUUUGCUUCCACAGUCACCUUGUGGGAGAAUAUGUUUUUAAAGUUUCUUUCUCGUAUAUUUAAGAACAUUGGUCUUUUUAUGUCAAUGUUAUGUCUAUUCUGUUUCAAAAUUCAAGGGGAAACUUCUACCUGCAGCAUUGAAUUAUUAAUAAUCUGACUCCAUCUUCCUAUACACAAAAUUUGUAUUUUGUAUUGUUGUAUACAAAAGCAUUGUUGUAUAACACUUGCUAAUUAAAAUUCAUCUACUAUCACCGGGCCCACUUAGAGAGUUUCAGGCUACAUUCAUGAUUUGGGGUUGAAGGUAACAUGAAAAUCACAAACUCCUUCUUUCAGAUACCAUAAAAAUAUUAAAUCUGAUGACUUCAGAAACUUAUUCCCCCAGAAAGAAUCUAGAUCAUUUCCAACAAUCCCAUUCAUUCAGAAACAUUUAUUGUUCUACUACUAGACUCCAGGCAUGAAGACUCAUUUUGUAUUUCUGCUAGUGUAAAAUAUUUAAUUUAGUUACCUGCAACUUUCGAUGUAAAUUUGUUAAGAAUUUUCCAAAAGAAACUAAACUGCAUUAACUGAUUCUGUAUCCCUCCCUUCAACAUACUGACCUGGUUUUCCUUUUCCUCCAAACACCCUGGGCUUGUUGGUCAACCAGGGAGCUAUUCUCCUGGAAGUGCUCUACUUAAUAAAGUGUAAAUAUUAAGCUGAUUUUCCUGGUGUGGGGCAGAGACUCAUAGACUCAGAGAGCACGCUCCUUACCCCCCUCCUCCCAACUCCUUGUGACUUCCACUCGCCCAAAAGAUCUGGUUCUUCAGCCAUUGAGGGAAGGAAAAGCCGUGUUACUGAACAAAGGCCUCCUGUCAUCAUUCCUUGAUCUUCCCAUGGUGCCUGUCUCAGAGAGGGACACUUUGAGAAAUGGAGUAAGACGUCCAUACUAAUGACUUGGUAAUAAGUCAAAUUGAUUUCCACCUUUUUUGUUGUUGUUGUUUUCAGCCAAAUUGCAGAAGAACUUAAUUAGGUUGUCAGCUGAUAAAACAUUAAAAGUAAUUUUUGAUGAUAGAUUAUAGUAUGAUUUCUGGAGGGUAGCUUUGAAGAAUUCAAAGAAUUGAGUGACAUCGUUACAACAGUUUUCUUCCAUUUCCGUCUAUUUGUGUGGAUGAAUUCUCUAAGCAUUUGGACUUAUAAAACAGAAAAAUAGGAACAGAAUUGAGACUGAAUCUUUUUUUUUUUUUUUUUGAGCCAUAAGUGAUUUUUUUCCUCCAGAGACAUAUAAACAA